CAUUUGAGAACAGUAUGUUAUUCUGAAGUUGAGACAUUCUCUAGAACAACAUGGGCCUGAUGGUUAAAAAUGGCUUGAUGAAAUGUACGUUCAUACUCCACUUCAUUUCAGUCGGGGCUGUUUGACCAGAAGUAAACGAAUAGCAUAACUAAAACUUCCUGUGUUUCUUAAUCCUUCAGGAGCACCACUUGUUGAAUUGUAUUGUUAACAACAAGGGAGAUCCCCGGUGCAAGGAUUUUCAAAGGCUGCAUCAGAGUUGAAUUCAGGAGCUUGAAGCUUGCAAGUCUGUUCUCUGGGAGCCUGAGAUCUGAGUUGGAAGCCUGGCUGUUACAAGUCUGUUGGGCUAGUGACAGUCUCCACGUUUCAACCUCAUCAGUAAAAUGUGGAAGAUAGAAUGACCUGCCUCUCAGGGUUGUUAUAAGAAUUAAAGGAGUUAGUGCAUAUAAAGUGCUUCACUCAAAAAAUACUUGCUUCAUUUCCGCAUCUGUAGAAUGAGGACAACAAAAAUGCCCACCUCGGAGGGGACGCUGUGAGAACUACAGGAAGUGUUUAAGCCAUAUAGAUAUACUGCUCUCUAACCAGAUUUGGAGAAAUAGUACAAUGCUUUCUUUCUGGAGGAAAAAAAAAAGUUCUUAGAAAGCUGUGGCCUGACGAUGUGUGCUCACAGGACUGGCUUCUCUCCAACCUUCAAAGCCUCAGCCUUGGUUAGCUGCAGCCAGGCCUCUUUUGGAUGGGCCCCCAGCCCUGCCUGCCCUCAGCACUGUUCUCAGCCGCGGCUCCGAGCACCUUACUCACAUGCCAUUUAUCUCCGUUGCUAAUCUGCGGUGAUGCAGCCAGUUUGGAUCCCUUCCCCACCCUCUUCAGUCUGAGGCUGGGUGUCUGUCUCGACCGCUGGGACACCCAGUGUGCAGCUGCAUAUCUGGUACAUGAUAAGCACACAGCAUGCACCUGCCACGUGAGGGAAGGAAGAGAAGAGAGAGCAAAGCUAGGUACAGGGCAGGUGUGGGGGGCAGGCCAGGGCUGGUCACAAAGUUACCUGCACUGAACCCACAGGUGCAGGAAAUGAAACCACCUCUGUAUCUCCAGUGACUCUGCCUUCCUCACAAGCUCUUACCAUCUGGGCUAUGGGUCUGAAUGUAAUCAAAUUCGUUGUACUCAGUAGGGGAUUUGACCAGCCUCUGUUGGGCACCGAGUGCCCCUAGAAUAGUGUCUGGCACAUUUUUGGCAUUCGCUAAUCAUUCUUUGAAACCCUGGAAUUAGGCUGUUUUGAGUAAUUACUGAGUCUUUCAAGAUUUCCCUCAUCUUCCCCUUGCUGAGUUCCCAGGUGAUGCUGGGGUGCUUGUCUUCACGCUGUCUCCUGUACAGCCCUUUGGCUUCUGCAGCAAUUUCCCUUGUCCCCCCCCCCCCCCCCACACACACACAUGAUGGAAUCUCAAUGAAGCCUGGGGCUGGCCCACUCUUGCUUUAUCCUCUCACAGCUCUGGGUCCAGACAAUGAGUCAUCAUGACCCUUGCUGGUCCUACAGAGUCCUUGGGGAUCCACAGUGCAGUGCGUGAAGGUCUGUUGGGUAGCUCUUGGCUCUAGGCUUAUCUGACCUCACAGCAGUCUCCUCAGGCCGAAUGGACUCUUUCAAUAUCACCUGGCAGUACAUAGGAACUUGGUUUCCUGGGAGCACUCUUGGGAGAGCCCAGCCUCUGUCUGACUGACCGACAUGAGGCCUCAUUGGAUUAUAUUACUUCAACGCCUGGGACACGGUGUGGAACAGCUUCAAGAGUGAAGUCCUUACAAUGAUACAAAUCCAAGCUAGAAAGAAUAGGUGUGUUGAAGGUAGAAAAACAGAUGUUAGAACCUAUGCUUCUUUGGCUUUGUUAUGUAUUAAAUUUAGGUUAGAAAUUCUAUGUCCACACAAAUUCUAGUGGCAUGAAGCCUAUGAUAAGGUCAAGAUUGCCAUCUCUCUUAGGCUUAAUUGUGUUAAUUGUAUUUGGUUAAAAUGGAUGGAAAGAAAGAUGACUGACCUCCCCAUCUUUGUGGGCAUGUGCACGUGUGAGUGUGCAAGUCCAGGUGUGGGUGUGCACACGCGACUGUGCAUGUAUGUGUGCACGCACUUGUGCGUGUGUGCCUGUGAAUGCUGUGCUAUGGUUGAGACCUCCCCACAGUUAUAGAACCAGAUGAGAGGACAUUUUAGAUGUCCGCUUUUUAAAGCAUUCCUUCAUGAAGACCAAAAAAAAAAAAAACCAUCUGAACACAAAAUAUCAGGCAGCAGAAAAUUAAUCCAACAGGCAAGACAAAUAAACCCUAACUUCUGCUUGUAUUCACAGAUUUAACUUAUAAUAAUAAAACUACUUGAGAAAUUAAGGCAGAUGUCGUGCUGCUGUUCAGAGGUGCCUGGCUGCUUUAUUUAAUCAGCUUAUCUAACGAAACUGAAGAAGUGGCAGGACACACAGGUAACUGAUAUGCUGGUGAUGCUGGUGGUCAGCCAACUACGGAGAUAGAUCUUCCCAUGCGCCCUUGGACGGGAAGCCCGGAGCCCACCAACUCCACUCGGCCGCUCUGGCCUCCCGCACUGUGCCACCUCUGCUUGCUGGGAUGGAUCCACUUACACGGGGGGACAGGGGACUCCAGCCCAGAACAAAGAUAAAGGAUGGCA
Molecule: long non-coding RNA, 2647 nt
Organism: Canis lupus familiaris (dog)
Lineage: Eukaryota; Metazoa; Chordata; Mammalia; Carnivora; Canidae
Exons: 3
Source: RefSeq, a predicted model, not a curated record